AUGUCGAUUCGCCGCCUGGGCGCUUCGGAUUUUCGCGGAGUCCGCGAGCGCCGCUCCGGCGCAUUCCCCUCCGAGAUCUGUUUUGGCGAGAAACGCCUCAUCCUUGGCACCUUCGACACCGCAGAGGAGGCGGCCUGCGCGCACGACGCGGCAGCCUGGCGCCUCUUGAGGCCUCGUGGGGAGAUGAAUUUUCCCGACGUGUCGAGCCAGCGGGCGCAGGAUCUAGCGCCUCUCCCGCGGCUUUUCACCGACGAGGUCGUCGUGUCCACCGGAGGCGGCAGCGUCACCUCGCCAUCGCCGAGAUGGACGUGGAAGCCAUGGUGGUGUGGCGCGAACGCUUCCCGCAGGACAUCGUCGACGAGCGUCAGUUCUACAAGCAAAGGAGGACGGAGAGGGAGGCAAGGAGGACGGAGCGAGCCGCCUAUCGGGAGGACAAGCGUGCGCGGAAGCAGGCCGCUCAAUUGA
RNAcentral lists this ribosomal RNA (465 nucleotides) under Triticum aestivum (bread wheat). Its description in RNAcentral is "partial small subunit ribosomal RNA". Lineage: Eukaryota; Viridiplantae; Streptophyta; Magnoliopsida; Poales; Poaceae. The record is from RNAcentral.